CAGGGAGACAACAAAAUGUUUAAUAUUAUUAUUUUGUCACCUUAGGUCGAUCGGUAUCUCACGUUCUUAAUUUUUUAAGAAUUUCAUUUCCUAAGUUUUUCUAGGUCACACCCAUUUUUUCCUGGGCCAUUAGCUCAGGUGGUUAGAGCGCACCCCUGAUAAGGGUGAGGUCCCUGGUUCAAGUCCAGGAUGGCCCAUAUCUCUAUGUUGGGGGUAUAGCUCAGUUGGUAGAGCGCCUGCUUUGCAAGCAGGAUGUCAGCGGUUCGAGUCCGCUUACCUCCACUGGUUACCACCUCUUCCAUACUGUAGAAAGGAAAAAAUUUUGAGUCGUGAGCCUAUUUCUGAACGAAUCUAGCUUCCUAAUGAAACCAUUAAGAUGCUGGACUCAUUGAAUUAAUUUCAUUGUUUUCAGAGAACCUUGACAACUGCAUAGAUUAUUUUUAAAGACAAUAAGCAUCUUUAAUGAUGCAGAUUUAUUAUUUGUGCAAAUGCAUUAAUAACAAUUCUAUUAAGCUGAUGCUUCAAUUUUGAAGUUAUU
This 538-nucleotide transfer RNA is filed under the name uncultured cyanobacterium. RNAcentral's name for it is "partial contains 16S ribosomal RNA, 16S-23S ribosomal RNA intergenic spacer, and 23S ribosomal RNA". The stretch from base 210 to 282 matches the Rfam family "tRNA". The record is from RNAcentral. Lineage: Bacteria; Bacillati; Cyanobacteriota.